This 149-nucleotide small RNA is filed under the name Thermobispora bispora. Lineage: Bacteria; Bacillati; Actinomycetota; Actinomycetes; Streptosporangiales; Streptosporangiaceae. The record is from RNAcentral. RNAcentral also lists the same sequence under 2 other names.
UUUCGAGGGAGUUCGCGGCGGUUCAAGGGAAAUCCGGUGAGAGGCCGGUGCGGACGCGCCACUGUAUCCGGGACGUCGAUCCCGGGAGCCAGGUCGCUUGAACCGUCGUGGGACCUCACCGUAUGGGCGCGUUAUCCCAGAAGGAGGCA